GGAGGGUGCGAGCGUUGUCCGGAAUCACUGGGCGUAAAGGGCGCGUAGGCGGCGCGACAAGGCGGCGGUGAAAGUCCGGGGCUCAACCCCGGAUCGGCCGUGGCGACUGUCGCGCUCGAGCACAGUAGAGGCGGGUGGAAUUCCGGGUGUAGCGGUGGAAUGCGUAGAGAUCCGGAAGAACACCGGUGGCGAAGGCGGCCCGCUGGGCUGUGGCUGACGCUGAGGCGCGACAGCGUGGGGAGCAAACAGGAUUAGAUACCCUGGUAGUCCACGCCGUAAACGAUGGGCACUAGGUGCCUGGGGGAGCGACCCCCUGGGUGCCGGCGCUAACGCAUUAAGUGCCCCGCCUGGGGAGUACGGCCGCAAGGCUG
This 371-nucleotide ribosomal RNA is filed under the name uncultured bacterium. RNAcentral describes it as "bacterial SSU rRNA". It matches the Rfam family "Bacterial small subunit ribosomal RNA", at positions 527 to 896 of the family's 1533-position model. The record is from RNAcentral.